Molecule: long non-coding RNA, 200 nt
Organism: Saccostrea echinata
Lineage: Eukaryota; Metazoa; Mollusca; Bivalvia; Ostreida; Ostreidae
Exons: 3
Source: RefSeq, a predicted model, not a curated record
AAGCAAAUACAUAAGGAGACUGACGUUUUUUAGGCAUCAUAUCCGGACUUUUCUGGUGUAAACAACGACAGUUGCGUCAGCAGAACAUUGAAGAAAAGCUGAUUAGUCAUGGAGGAAGAAGAUCCCUCUCAAGAAAGUAUUGCAGUGAUGAAGUCAGAUGAGAUGACAGGUUGUGUGAUUUGAAGAUGGACUUCUGCAAC